RNAcentral lists this ribosomal RNA (449 nucleotides) under uncultured bacterium. RNAcentral's name for it is "partial 16S ribosomal RNA". It matches the Rfam family "Bacterial small subunit ribosomal RNA", at positions 29 to 523 of the family's 1533-position model. The record is from RNAcentral.
AACGAACGCUGGCGGCAGGCCUAACACAUGCAAGUCGAUCGCUGUAGCAAUACAGAGUGGCAGACGGGUGAGUAACGCGUGGGAACAUGCCCUUCGGUUCGGAAUAACUCAGGGAAACUUGAGCUAAUACCGGAUACGCCCUUAGGGGGAAAGAUUUAUUGCCGAAGGAUUGGCCCGCGUCCGAUUAGCUAGUUGGUGAGGUAAUGGCUCACCAAGGCGACGAUCGGUAGCUGGUCUGAGAGGAUGAUCAGCCACACUGGGACUGAGACACGGCCCAGACUCCUACGGGAGGCAGCAGUGGGGAAUAUUGGACAAUGGGCGCAAGCCUGAUCCAGCCAUGCCGCGUGAGUGAUGAAGGCCCUAGGGUUGUAAAGCUCUUUCGCCAGGGACGAUAAUGACGGUACCUGGAUAAGAAGCCCCGGCUAACUUCGUGCCAGCCGCCGCGGUAA